Molecule: long non-coding RNA, 3331 nt
Filed under: Homo sapiens (human)
Lineage: Eukaryota; Metazoa; Chordata; Mammalia; Primates; Hominidae
Description: HSALNT0370877
Source: RNAcentral
AGUGAGAUCUGGUCUCUAAAUUUAAAAAAAACAACAAUAACAAAAGAAAAAAUUAAAAAAAAAAGCCAUCAAAACUACUUAUAAUCCUGUCACCCCACGGAAGCUAUUAAUAAUAUCUUUUAUAUGUUCCGACUUUUCUAUGUUUCUCAGAAAUGUGUAAAUGUUACAUAGUAUCCAUGUAUAUCAGUAUUCUAUCAAAUGGGAUAGUUCUCUGCAUUAUGUUUGGAACUUAUUUUUCUCUCUUGCUAACACAUUAUAAUUACUUUUCCAUAUUACCAAAUAUUCUUUGACAACAUAAUUUUUAAUGGCUGCAGUGUUCUAUUGAGGAAUACAUAAGAGCUAAUUUAACCAAUCCCCUACUUUGGGGUGCUGAAGAGUUUCCAACGUUGGCGAGAACUUCGUGGCCCUGAACAUUCUUGUAGCUAGAACCUCACACCAGGCCGCCCUAUGACUUCUUUAGGAUUAACUGAGGACUAAUGCAACUUCCAGAAUUUCUAAGGCUUAAUCUAUGUUCCUAAAUUGCUCUCAGCAAAAGAAAUUCAUUUUAAACUGGAGUGUCUGGCUAACCAGAACAUGCUAUCCUGUGAAUGUGUGGCCGCUUAAAGAGUCUACCUUGUGCUGCCAACUCCAUGACCACCAACUGCCUGGCUCUAGCACAGGCCUGUGCCCAGAAGAGCACUGUCUGUUCUUUGGUACCCUCCCCACAGCCAGGGCGCCGGGAGACCUGCUUCCCCUGGGGACAGGCCAGUGCCUCUGACUCAGCCCUUUUGCAUCCUAGAAUCCUCCUGCAUGCUGGUGUCCUGGGAAUAAAAACUGAUAAUAUAAAUAAUAAUAGCAAGUAAUAUAGCGCUUCCUUGGUGUCAGCCACUGUUCUAAGCACCUUAUCUGUAUCAACUCCUUUAAUUUUUGCAACAACCUUAAAUAAUAAUAGUAAAAUAAUAAUAUAAGCAGGCAUUUUCAUUAUUGUCAUUUUGUAGAUAGGAAACCCGAAGUUCAGAGAGGUUAAGUGCUGUAUCCAAGGUCACACAGCUUGGAAGUGACUGGUGCAAAGAUUCAAAAGCAGGCAGACAGGUUCUGGAAUAUUGGGUGUUGGACUUAAGUCUCUACUCUGACAUUUCCUGGCACAUCUCUAAGUUUCUCUGAGCCUCAGUUUAUUCUUCUCUGAAAUGGGAAUGACGACACCUAUCUUACCGGGUUACCGUAGGAAGCAAAUGAAAGCGAGUCACAGAAUGGCUUUGGAAGUUGUAAAAGUACCAUGUGAAGGUAAACACUUGUGGUUUAUUUUGAUGUUUGGGGAAAAGACUGCUCCUCAGAAACUAGGUGCCUCUGUCUGCUCUGAAAAUAGGGUAUUGGGGUGAGGGAAGGGAGGAUCUCUGAGCAGGGAAAGCUCCAAGAUUUCCAAAAGAGGGGCCUGGAGGUGGGGUUAACCUCAUUUAAAGAGAGUGUUGCUAGGAGGAUCAUCUUGAAACUCAAUUUGCUUAUCAUUUGCCUACUUAGAUUGGGGCAGCUUAAGGAUUAUGAGUGAUUUUUAAUUUCUUAUUUUGCUUUCCUAACUACAUAUUUUAUCAUGAAGACAUUUUAUUUUUGUAAACUGAAAAAAGUAAUUAUUAUGAUUUUUAGAAAUACAUCCAGAGGCUAGGAGAAGUCAGAAACCCCUUGCAGACAUGCUUUUUUCAACAUGCCUCAGAGAAAUGUAGGUGGAACACUAUUGGCCCAGCUAAAGAAAGAAAGUGCUGUUUCCAGGGAAGGCAGAGUCCCUGGGACUAAGGAGAAGGGGUGGAAAUAAGGCCUUGGGGCUUUCCAGUCUCUAUCUUAGCCAGGGUCUGGCCCAGUGGCCCAUGAAGGGAACAUUUCUUGGCUGGUGGUUGCAGGAUGGGGGUAGGGGAAUCUGAGGCUUGCUGGAAAUUGUCUAGUCCAGCAUUUUCCAAACACUUCCUUGAAUGAGACACUCAUACGUGGUCAGAUAAGAUAGGGCUGCCUCUUAGAGAUUCAUAAACUACAUUAGUGACUUAAAGGCUCUGAUAAGUCCUGCAGUGAGAAGACCUGUUUAUAAUUUUGUUUUUACUGGCACCAUACAAGACCUUGAACUCUCCUGCUCCUGUUUCUAGAUGCCUAGUAACAGCUUGAAGUACAUUGGUAAAUUCUGAUCUUGUCUACCUCUUCAUAAGACCAACAGUAAAACUGAGGCUCCAGAGGCUGUGGGAUUUGCUCAGGGCCACACCGCCAGAAGUAGAUCCAGCCAUCCUGACUCAGAACCAGCCAGAGAGGCCUGACAUUGAAUGUCAGACACUGCCAGGGAGAAGUGGGUAAUCUCAGACGUGGAAAUUGAGACUGCAUGACUCACCCAAAGCCUCUGGAUUAGUAAGAUACUUAGCUGAGAUCUCAACAUGGAGCUGCCAGACCCCACCUGUUAUGAAGCACCUACAAAAGAGGAUGGUGAAAAACCCUCCAGGCUGGACAGAGGGUCUCCUAGAGGGACCACAGGGUGGAGUCGACCCUUGGACUUGGGCUAGAAGCAUCUAAGACCCUAAUUAAAACAAGGACAGAAGGAAUGGUGAUAAUCGGUCUGUUUACAGAGUGCCAGGCAAGCACUAUUAUUAGCUCCAUUUUAUAGACACUCCGCAUAUAUUAUCAUAGAUAGUCUGCAUAUGUUUAAUCUUUCCUACACCCUUACAGGACAGAUAUUAUUAUGGUCUCCAUUCUGCAAAUAGGAGAAAUGAGGCUCAGAGGGAUGAAGACUUUCUCGUCCACAUCCGCCAUGCUAGUGAACAGCAGUGCUGGGAUCUGAACCCAGGUUUCAAAGAGCAUCUAUUAUUCAUUAUUUAUUGGGGCCUUCCUGGAUGCCUGACACUAUAACAAUAACGACGACAAUAAUAAUACUAAUUCCUUGUGUUCCAGGUCAUAGAAUGUGAAAGGAAAAUAAAUCUUGGGGCCCCCAAAUCACUAAGCUAAAGGGAAAAGUCAAGCUGGGAACUGUUUAGGGCCAACCUACCCCCCAUUCUAUUCAAAGGCAGCCCUCUGCUCACUGACAUAGAUGCAUUAUCUGUUUGUCUCCUUUGGAAAGGCUAAUCAGAAACUCAAAAGAAUGCGACCAUUUGUCUCUCACCUACCUGUGACCUGGAAAACCCCUCCCUGCUUCAAGUUGUCCUGCAUUUCUAGAUCGAACCAAUGUACUUCUUACAUAUAUUGAUUGAUGUCUCAUGUCUCUCUAAAAUGUAUAAAAUUAAGCUGUGCCCAGACCACCUUGGGCAUGUGACAGGAGGACUUCCUGAGGCUGUGUCAUGGGAGUGUCCUCAACCUCGGCAAAAUAAACUUCCUAAAUGAACUGAGA